Molecule: unclassified non-coding RNA, 259 nt
Filed under: Helianthus praecox subsp. praecox
Lineage: Eukaryota; Viridiplantae; Streptophyta; Magnoliopsida; Asterales; Asteraceae
Description: partial trnH-psbA intergenic spacer
Source: RNAcentral
AAAAAAAAAAAACUUCAUAAAAGAUUAGGAAAAGUAAAAGUAUAUGAUAUAGAAACCUAUAAUAUAAAUGAAUACAAAUAAAAACAAACAAAUCGAACCAAAUUAUAAAAAGUACUUGUUAUUUUUAAAGUUUAAAGAAACUAUGUAAGGCAAAUAGUACUAAAUAAAAAAAGGAGCAAUAACGCCCUCUUGUUUUAUCAAGAGGGAAGCUAUUGCUCCUUUUUUAGUUCAAAAACUCCUAUACAAUCAGACCAAAGUC